GAGUUUGAUCCUGGCUCAGAGCGAACGCUGGCGGCAGGCCUAACACAUGCAAGUCGAACGGAUCCUUCGGGAUUAGUGGCGGACGGGUGAGUAACACGUGGGAACGUGCCCUUUGGUUCGGAACAACUCAGGGAAACUUGAGCUAAUACCGGAUGUGCCCUUCGGGGAAAGAUUUAUCGCCAUUGGAGCGGCCCGCGUCUGAUUAGCUAGUUGGUGAGGUAAAGGCUCACCAAGGCGACGAUCAGUAGCUGGUCUGAGAGGAUGAUCAGCCACAUUGGGACUGAGACACGGCCCAAACUCCUACGGGAGGCAGCAGUGGGGAAUCUUGCGCAAUGGGCGAAAGCCUGACGCAGCCAUGCCGCGUGAAUGAUGAAGGUCUUAGGAUUGUAAAAUUCUUUCACCGGGGACGAUAAUGACGGUACCCGGAGAAGAAGCCCCGGCUAACUUCGUGCCAGCCGCCGCCGUAAG
This 468-nucleotide ribosomal RNA is filed under the name uncultured Alphaproteobacteria bacterium. RNAcentral's name for it is "bacterial SSU rRNA". It matches the Rfam family "Bacterial small subunit ribosomal RNA", at positions 9 to 524 of the family's 1533-position model. Lineage: Bacteria; Pseudomonadati; Pseudomonadota; Alphaproteobacteria. The record is from RNAcentral.